RNAcentral lists this ribosomal RNA (493 nucleotides) under Americonuphis magna. RNAcentral's name for it is "partial 16S ribosomal RNA". It matches the Rfam family "Bacterial large subunit ribosomal RNA", at positions 1817 to 2594 of the family's 2925-position model. The record is from RNAcentral. Lineage: Eukaryota; Metazoa; Annelida; Polychaeta; Eunicida; Onuphidae.
AGCCUAUUGAUCCCUAAAUAAUAGGUAAAUCCUGCCCAGUGAAAAUUUUCAACGGCCGCGGUAUCCUGACCGUGCAAAGGUAGCAUAAUCAUUUGCCCCUUAAUUAGGGGCUAGUAUGAAUGGAUAAACGAAAAUUUAACUGUCUCUAUUAAAUCUCUAAAAACUAACCUCUAGGUGAAGAGGCCUAGAUCAAUUUAAAAGACAAGAAGACCCUGUCGAGCUUUAUCCAAAAUAAGUUAAUAGUUCAUCUUAAAUCUUAUUCUAGGAUUUUGUUGGGGCGACAAGGGAACAAGCAAAACUUCCCACCAAAAAAAGACCACACGUCUUCCCAAAGACCCAGUAAUUCUGAUCAUAGACACUAGCUACCGCAGGGAUAACAGACUAAUUUCUCUCAAGAGCCCAAAUCUACAGAGAAGAUUGGCACCUCGAUGUUGGCUUAGGGAAUCUUCUAAACGCAACCGUUUAAAAAGAGGGUUUGUUCAACCCUUAAACC